Molecule: ribosomal RNA, 397 nt
Filed under: uncultured bacterium
Lineage: Bacteria
Description: partial 16S ribosomal RNA
Rfam family: Bacterial small subunit ribosomal RNA
Source: RNAcentral
AAUAUUGCACAAUGGGGGAAACCCUGAUGCAGCGACGCCGCGUGAGUGAAGAAGUAUUUCGGUAUGUAAAGCUCUAUCAGCAGGGACGAUAAUGACGGUAGUCGGAGAAGAAGCCCCGGCUAACUUCGUGCCAGCAGCCGCGGUAAUACGAAGGGGGCUAGCGUUGUUCGGAUUUACUGGGCGUAAAGCGCACGUAGGCGGAUUGGUCAGUUAGAGGUGAAAUCCCGAAGCUCAACUUCGGAACUGCCUUUAAUACUGCCAGUCUCGAGUCCGGAAGAGGUAAGUGGAACUCCUAGUGUAGAGGUGGAAUUCGUAGAUAUUAGGAAGAACACCAGUGGCGAAGGCGGCUUACUGGUCCGGAACUGACGCUGAGGUGCGAAAGCGUGGGGAGCAAACA